GUACAGUGAACUAAAGCCUGAAGAACAGCUGAAAACAACCUGAUAACAAAGAGGCACAGAUAAUAAAUAGAACCGUAGGAUCUUUUGAGUUGGAAGGAACCUUAAGGGUGAUCUAGUCCAACUCCCCCACAGUGAACAAGGACAUCUACAGCUUAGAGCUCUAAGCCAUCCAGCCUGAAUUUAAAGGUCCCCAGGACUCUAGCAACCCAUUCCAGUUCUCAGUACAUGGAACUAAGAAAUACCAUGAGCAGUUGGUGGAGGGCUAGUUGUUCUGGAUGUGUCUCUAAUGCGAUAAGCAAUUUGGUCCCCUCUUGGUCAUAGACCCAGAAGAAAGCCUUAAGCCUUGAAAGAAAGCUGUUAGAGAGCUGGGCUGGACUGAGUUUCAUAUGAAUGCUUUCUGACAAUUGUUGUCUCUUGUCAAUCUCUAUAACUGGCCAAGGACCAGCUGUAAGCUCAGUAUCUCGCAGGACUACAACAGAAGGAGAUGACAGCUGGCCAUGGUGGGCUGUAGUGACACAGUUUCCUGAGAAAACAGGCUACUCUCUUGAUGACUUCUGCCUGAAGAUGAAACUCCAGAGAGUGUAUCUGUUGUGGAAAGAGAGGCUGUACGAGCACUGCAGAGCUGAUUCUUUCUCUCAGGCUUUGAAGGAGCGUAGACUCAGAAAAGCUCUGAAAUUAUGGCACCAGAAGUAUCUCAUGCUGAAGGCAAACAAAGAAAGUCCUCAGCACUCUCACAGGGCUGUCUAUGAAGAACCUCUUGCUGUGCUGUUUUGUGAGGAAUGCUCAACAUCUUCCGGCUUCCACAGCAGUGCUCCAACUACUCUUGCCUCUCAAAGCUCACUGGAAAAGGAAUACAGUUUCAGUGACAGCAGCCAGCAGAGCUGCUCCUCCGUUCUGACUGCUGAGGAUGUGACAUACCUGCCUUAUUACAAUUCUUUCCUGCAACUACACCAGUGUGCAGAGCUGCCAGCUGAGCUGGGUGGAGAGCUGUGCUUGCAGGCUUCCUUUCCUCCAUGGAGGACUAGAUCUGGGU
This 1033-nucleotide long non-coding RNA is filed under the name Chrysolophus pictus (golden pheasant). RNAcentral describes it as "lncRNA (ENSCPIG00010009554.1)". The record is from RNAcentral. Lineage: Eukaryota; Metazoa; Chordata; Aves; Galliformes; Phasianidae.